This 489-nucleotide ribosomal RNA is filed under the name uncultured bacterium. RNAcentral's name for it is "partial 16S ribosomal RNA". It matches the Rfam family "Bacterial small subunit ribosomal RNA", at positions 30 to 506 of the family's 1533-position model. The record is from RNAcentral.
AUUGAACGCUGGCGGCAGGCCUAACACAUGCAAGUCGAACGGUAACAGGAAACAGCUUGCUGUUUCGCUGACGAGUGGCGGACGGGUGAGUAAUGUCUGGGAAACUGCCUGAUGGAGGGGGAUAACUACUGGAAACGGUAGCUAAUACCGCAUAACGUCGCAAGACCAAAGAGGGGGACCCUCGGGCCUCUUGCCAUCGGAUGUGCCCAGAUGGGAUUAGCUUGUUGGUGGGGUAACGGCUCACCAAGGCGACGAUCCCUAGCUGGUCUGAGAGGAUGACCAGCCACACUGGAACUGAGACACGGUCCAGACUCCUACGGGAGGCAGCAGUGGGGAAUAUUGCACAAUGGGCGCAAGCCUGAUGCAGCCAUGCCGCGUGUAUGAAGAAGGCCUUCGGGUUGUAAAGUACUUUCAGCGGGGAGGAAGGGAGUAAAGUUAAUACCUUUGCUCAUGGACGUUACCCGCAGAAGAAGCACCGGCUAACUCCGG